CGAAGCACGAGCAGAUCCUGGUCCUCGAUCCGCCCACAGACCUCAAAUUCAAAGAAUGAUAUGGAACCUAGCAAAGCUGUUCCACUGAAUGCAUCUAAGCAAGAUGGACCUAUGCCAAAACCACACAGUGUUUCACUUAAUGAUACCGAAACAAGGAAACUAAUGGAAGAGUGUAAAAGACUUCAGGGAGAAAUGAUGAAGCUAUCAGAAGAAAAUCGGCACCUGAGAGAUGAAGGUUUAAGGCUCAGAAAGGUAGCACAUUCGGAUAAACCUGGAUCAACCUCAACUGCAUCCUUCAGAGAUAAUGUCACCAGUCCUCUUCCUUCACUUCUUGUUGUAAUUGCAGCCAUUUUCAUUGGAUUCUUUCUAGGGAAAUUCAUCUUGUAGAGUGAAGCAUGCAGAGUGCUGUUUCUUUUUUUUUUUUUCUCUUGACCAGAAAAAGAUUUGUUUACCUACCAUUUCAUUGGUAGUAUGGCCCACGGUGACCAUUUUUUUGUGUGUACAGCGUCAUAUAGGCUUUGCCUUUAAUGAUCUCUUACGGUUAGAAAACACAAUAAAAACAAACUGUUCGGCUACUGGACAGGUUGUAUAUUACCAGAUCAUCACUAGCAGAUGUCAGUUGCACAUUGAGUCCUUUAUGAAAUUCAUAAAUAAAGAAUUGUUCUUUCUUUGUGGUUUUAAUAAGAGUUCAAGAAUUGUUCAGAGUCUUGUAAAUGUUAUUUUAAUAAUCCCUUUAAAUUUUAUCUGUUGCUGUUACCUCUUGAAAUAUGAUUUAUUUAGAUUGCUAAUCCCACUCAUUCAGGAAAUGCCAAGAGGUAUUCCUUGGGGAAAUGGUGCCUCUUACAGUGUAAAUUUUUCCUCCUUUACCUUUGCUAAUAUCAUGGCAGAAUUUUUCUUAUCCCUUGUGAGGCAGUUGUUGACUGAGUUUUUCAUCCUUACAAUCCUGUCCCAUGGUAUUUAACAUAAAAAAAAAUAAAACUGUUAACAGAU
This 990-nucleotide long non-coding RNA is filed under the name Homo sapiens (human). RNAcentral's name for it is "long non-coding RNA NONHSAT177422.1". Lineage: Eukaryota; Metazoa; Chordata; Mammalia; Primates; Hominidae. The record is from RNAcentral.